CAUGUAACUCUCCGCACACCGCAGUGCAGCUCUGCAGUAGUGACGAAGAGCUGAGGCUAUGCGGAUGUUGCGCAUAUGUGUUGUAUCUUUGAUGCAGUUUGCAGUCAUGGAUGCUUGUAGUAGAGGUAUGUGGGCGAAGAACUGCGUGCGACCCGGCAUGUGCUGCUCACUGCACCUUCAUCGACAGGAAGGCUUUGGGCGACACAAUUCCAGGUCGCUAGAUUGACAGAGGGCCCAUUUACUGGCCCAGAAGGUCGCCUGAGAUGACGCAUUAAUUUUUUCUUCGCGGUUUCAUGAAGGAUGCGGUCUAUAAGACCACGGCGCGGGACCUGCGGGCUUUCACAUCGGAGCAGCAAAUGCACAAGUUAAUUACAUGUAUGUUCGAUAUGGGAGAAACUGAAGUAUUUCAUAGAUACCAUGCGUGCUUCAGAUAGUGCACACAUUGAACUGUCAAACGGCUACGACUGCAGGUGUGUGUUUCAUUAAUGUGGCUGUUGCGUAGCGGUUGGUUUGUCCAGGAAAAUGGAGAUGUCACAGUGCGAGAGAAACCUCAAUGUGUGGUCUAGUGGUGCAUGAACUCCUGGUCGACUCUAAACAGCACAAAAGAAAUUUCAGAUAACAUAUAGAAAGACAUCAGUGGAGUCAGGAUCUGAGUCCAAAGGAGAAAUGUUUGCAGGAUGAUUCCAGACAACUAUAAACCAUUAUGAAUAUAUCAAUGAAUAAUAAUUUGUGAUGUCAUGAAAGACAACUGUAAUAUCUGAUGGGGAAAGCUAUUCAGCAUGGACUACUAUGUAAAUUUGGAUGUAUAAAGUAAUAUAAAUCAAAUUUUGCAGAAGUUUGAAAAUUUUUGUGUUAUGGAUAUUUCCUAUUUUAUUUUAUAACAGGUGAGCAAAGCAGUAUUCAAUACAGUAGUUCCAGCUUUUGCAGAAAGUUUGUGUUCUUUUGCUAAUGUUAAAUUUUGUUCAAUACUAUAAAUGAAGAAAAUGUGACGGGCUGUAUUUUUUGUUCAAAUAAAGAAAAUAAAUUAGAUUUUUAAA
This is a long non-coding RNA of Schistocerca cancellata (South American locust), 1037 nucleotides long. RefSeq lists it as uncharacterized. The transcript is spliced from 4 exons. The record is from RefSeq and is a predicted model, not a curated record. Lineage: Eukaryota; Metazoa; Arthropoda; Insecta; Orthoptera; Acrididae.